AGUCUGUUUUCCGUAAAAACUCGACUGUAGUUGAAAGCUUGCUUCCUUGUAAGGAAUCAUCAAAUCUUCCACUGGUUUCAGUGAGAGUUGGCAAAAAAGCAACACGUACAUAAAGGAAGAAGAAUCUGUGAACAAUAUAUGAGUGGCACUCUGCAAAACAUUGCAACUUAAUGUCCAGGAAGGAUUCAGCAAAACAACAGCUCUUUGUAAGAUUCGUAUUUGUGCAUUCAUUCAAGAACAUCUCAG
Molecule: long non-coding RNA, 246 nt
Organism: Lagopus muta (rock ptarmigan)
Lineage: Eukaryota; Metazoa; Chordata; Aves; Galliformes; Phasianidae
Exons: 3
Source: RefSeq, a predicted model, not a curated record